This 508-nucleotide long non-coding RNA is filed under the name Mus musculus (house mouse). Its description in RNAcentral is "long non-coding RNA chr4:29490155-29490663". Lineage: Eukaryota; Metazoa; Chordata; Mammalia; Rodentia; Muridae. The record is from RNAcentral.
AGGAGGAAAGAAGGAAGACGACUAUUGCCAUUCAGAAAAGCAUUGCCCAGUUAAUGCCUCUGGUCAUCAGUAUUAUUUGAUGAUAUCUCCCCAAGGGAGCUCAUUUCAAAUUCAUCAGAUGAUCUGCAUUAAGUCAGAGAUGAAAGCUUUGUACACCCCAGUAAUCUAGACUCUGGGAAGGAACUGCACAUUAAUCCUUCUUUCAGCAAACGAGCUGCAGCCCGCACAAUUCUGAAUUCUGGACUUAGCACGAACAAGGCUGACUUGGUUGAUAACCUUGGUUCUGUUGACAAGUUUGGGACCAAAGUCAAACUUUGCAGGCUGGUGAUGAAACCUCUUCCAUGAGCCAUUAUUUUCCCGCUUUACAUAUUUGGUUGCUGAGAAAGUUACUGUGGUCCCCAAUCAUAACGAUGAUGAGCACUAUGGCUGGGAAUCCUCAGCAAGGGGAUCCUCCACAGUGAUGAUAACACAGGGGAACCAACGGGCGAUGGAACAAAGGAUAACCUAU